This 426-nucleotide ribosomal RNA is filed under the name uncultured bacterium. RNAcentral describes it as "partial 16S ribosomal RNA". It matches the Rfam family "Bacterial small subunit ribosomal RNA", at positions 354 to 796 of the family's 1533-position model. The record is from RNAcentral.
GUAGGGAAUAUUGCUUAAUGGGCGAAAGCCUGAAGCAGCAACGCCGCGUGAACGAAGAAGGCCUUCGGGUCGUAAAGUUCUUUUACGUGGGAUGAGGAAGGACAGUACCACGAGAAUAAGUCUCGGCUAACUACGUGCCAGCAGCCGCGGUAAAACGUAGGAGACGAGCGUUAUCCGGAUUUACUGGGCGUAAAGCGCGUGUAGGAGGCGCUACAAGUUGGAUGUGAAAGCUCCCGGCUUAACUGGGAGAGGUCGUUCAAGACUGUAGGGCUAGAGUGAGGCAGAGGUAGAUGGAACUCCGGGAGUAGUGGUGAAAUGCGUAGAUAUCCGGAAGAACACCAGAGGCGAAAGCGAUCUACUGGGCCUAAACUGACACUGAGACGCGAAAGCCAGGGUAGCAAACGGGAUUAGAAACCCGAGUAGUCC